GACGAACGCUGGCGGCGUGCUUAACACAUGCAAGUCGAACGAGUGGCGAACGGGUGAGUAACACGUGAGUAACCUGCCCCGGACUCUGGAAUAAGCGCUGGAAACGGCGUCUAAUACCGGAUAGUCUGGGAUGGACUCGCGGCCUAUCAGCUUGUUGGUGAGGUAGUGGUCACCAAGGCGCGACGGGUAGCCGGCCUGAGAGGGCGACCGGCCACACUGGGACUGAGACACGGCCCAGACUCCUACGGGAGGCAGCAGUGGGGAAUAUUGCACAAUGGGCAAAAGCCUGAUGCAGCGACGCCGCGUGAGGGAUGACGGCCUUCGGGUUGUAAACCUCUUUCAGCAGGGAAGCGGUACCUGCAGAAGAAGCACCGGCUAACUACGUGCCAGCAGCCGCGGUAAUACGUAGGGUGCGAGCGUUGUCCGGAAUUAUUGGGCGUAAAGAGCUUGUAGGCGGUUUGUCGCGUCUGCUGUGAAAUCCGGGGCUCAACCCCGGACUUGCAGUGGGUACGGGCAGACUAGAGU
RNAcentral lists this ribosomal RNA (525 nucleotides) under uncultured bacterium. Its description in RNAcentral is "bacterial SSU rRNA". It matches the Rfam family "Bacterial small subunit ribosomal RNA", at positions 28 to 647 of the family's 1533-position model. The record is from RNAcentral.